This 1453-nucleotide long non-coding RNA is filed under the name Equus asinus (donkey). RNAcentral describes it as "lncRNA (ENSEASG00005027433.1)". The record is from RNAcentral. Lineage: Eukaryota; Metazoa; Chordata; Mammalia; Perissodactyla; Equidae.
UACUUCCUUUUAGAAUUACCCCAUUUUAAAUGGGUAACUUUCAGAUUCUGAACUUAGUAUUUUUCCCAAGCAUUCCAGGGUUGCAUUAUAAAAGAUCAAAAGAUUUCCAGGUAGUAAUACAAUUUUCUUUAAAACAUGGACACUUUAACUGUUAGGUUUAACAUUAAUGUUAGUAUUUUUACAAUAAAUCACAGAAAACAAUAAUGGUUUUCAUUAAAAACUUUUUCAAAUAUUUUAUCCUCAGUUUGAUUGCAAACACUUUCCUCCAUUAUUUGUGAUAUAUCCUUCUGUUUAAUUUUUUCCUUCUAGCAUAAUGUUUAGGAAAAAUAUGAAUACAUUAUAAUUGAAGGCAACACACAAAAAGAAACCCUAUUCAGUUCAUUGUUGUAGAAGGAUAGCUAUUAUAUGAUACGCUGGAGUUUGUUUUAUCCUAUUAUUUUUUCAAAGAGGAGCAUGGCUUUUUCUUAAAUACAUUUCAAUUCAGAAUUGCUUGAAAAAGAUUGGCCUGGAUAGAAAGACAUCCUGUAUUUGGGAUGGUACCACCUUAAAGGUAUGACUAAAGCUAAAAUCAUUUUAAAAUACUCAACUUUCCUAGUUGGAAUGUGUUACCUUUUCUUCUCUUUCAUUUUCUGGCCAUAAGUUAGAGGUCCUUAGAAUGUUAGGAAGUUACCAUUUUUUACUUUCAAAAUUGCAUUAUAGUGAAUUACUGUUUACAAAAUACACAUACUGUGAACAGAUUUAAGUUUUUGUCUUUUAUAAGGUUGUUUGUAGAAUGAGUGUUUUUUUAAAAGGGGAUGUUAUAUGUUAAAUAUUUUCAGUUUUUUAUAAAUACUAGUAACUGUUUACUAAUUUUUGUUUGGUGAGGUGUGUGCAAAUAUAGCCGAAAGAUAGGGAGAAACUGCAGAUCCGAAACUGUUCCCUUUUUCAUUUCUUGAAAUGUUACCACUACAGACUUUUUUUUUUAACCUGAAUGAUCAGUUGUGAUGUUCUCUACCUAAAAUCAUGCUUAGUCAUAUCAGGAAACCUUUAAAUGUACAUGUACAGGAAGUGAACUGUAGAUUGCAGUAUAUUUGUGUGAUUCAGUCUCGUUCACAGAAUUCUGAGUUUAAUAUGGAAUAAAACAGCUCCACUUACAGAGAUGACAACUGAAGUACUUUCUGCCUUAGGAAAAUUUGGAGAUUAUGUUGCUGUUAGAGUGGAAAAUUUGGACAUUUUAUAUCGUCGUAUAAUUUCAGAAUUUAGUUUCCAUAUCUUUUGGAAAACAUGGUUAUAGCAAGAACAUAGAAUAGAGGUAACCUGUUACUAAGACACCUAAAAUGUAAAACUAGUAUGCUUGGCUGUUAACUUUAAAGAUGUUACUUAUGUUUGUUUUUAAAACAUGCAUGUAUUUAACAAUUUUAUCAUAGUAUUGUCAUGGAAAAAAAUAAAUAUAUUUUCUUACAACUUACACUGA